This 424-nucleotide ribosomal RNA is filed under the name Verrucomicrobiota bacterium. RNAcentral's name for it is "Verrucomicrobia bacterium partial 16S ribosomal RNA". It matches the Rfam family "Bacterial small subunit ribosomal RNA", at positions 355 to 776 of the family's 1533-position model. The record is from RNAcentral. Lineage: Bacteria; Pseudomonadati; Verrucomicrobiota. RNAcentral also lists the same sequence under 1 other name.
UGAGGAAUAUUGGUCAAUGGGCGAGAGCCUGAACCAGCCAAGUAGCGUGCAGGAUGACGGCCCUAUGGGUUGUAAACUGCUUUUAUGUGGGGAUAAAGUGCGUGACGUGUCAUGCAUUGCAGGUACCACAUGAAUAAGGACCGGCUAAUUCCGUGCCAGCAGCCGCGGUAAUACGGAAGGUCCGGGCGUUAUCCGGAUUUAUUGGGUUUAAAGGGAGCGUAGGCGGUCUAUUAAGCGUGUUGUGAAAUUUACCGGCUCAACCGGUGGCUUGCAGCGCGAACUGGUCGACUUGAGUAUGCAGGAAGUAGGCGGAAUUCAUGGUGUAGCGGUGAAAUGCUUAGAUAUCAUGACGAACUCCGAUUGCGCAGGCAGCUUACUGUAGCAUAACUGACGCUGAUGCUCGAAAGUGCGGGUAUCAAACAGG